GACGAACGCUGGCGGCGUGCUUAACACAUGCAAGUCGAACGGAAAGGCCCUGCUUUUGUGGGGUGCUCGAGUGGCGAACGGGUGAGUAACACGUGAGUAACCUGCCCUUGACUUUGGGAUAACUUCAGGAAACUGGGGCUAAUACCGGAUAGGAGCUCCUGCUGCAUGGGGGGGGUUGGAAAGUUUCGGCGGUUGGGGAUGGACUCGCGACUUAUCAGCUUGUUGGUGGGGUAGUGGCUUACCAAGGCUUUGACGGGUAGCCGGCCUGAGAGGGUGACCGGCCACAUUGGGACUGAGAUACGGCCCAGACACCUACGGGAGGCAGCAGUGGGGAAUAUUGCACAAUGGGCGGAAGCCUGAUGCAGCAACGCCGCGUGCGGGAUGCCGGCCUUCGGGUUGUAAACCGCUUUCGCCUGUGACGAAGCGUGAGUGACGGUAAUGGGUAAAGAAGCACCGGCUAACUACGUG
This 468-nucleotide ribosomal RNA is filed under the name uncultured bacterium. Its description in RNAcentral is "partial 16S ribosomal RNA". It matches the Rfam family "Bacterial small subunit ribosomal RNA", at positions 28 to 507 of the family's 1533-position model. The record is from RNAcentral.